GGGAGUGUAGCUCAGUGGAAGAGCACGUGCUUGGUGAACACGAGGUCCUGGGUUCAAUCCCCAGUGCCUCUG
This 72-nucleotide transfer RNA is filed under the name Camelus bactrianus (Bactrian camel). It matches the Rfam family "tRNA". Rfam says of the family: Transfer RNA (tRNA) molecules are approximately 80 nucleotides in length. Their secondary structure includes four short double-helical elements and three loops (D, anti-codon, and T loops). The record is from Rfam by way of RNAcentral. RNAcentral also lists the same sequence under 2 other names. Lineage: Eukaryota; Metazoa; Chordata; Mammalia; Artiodactyla; Camelidae.